GACGAACGCUGGCGGCGUGCUUAACACAUGCAAGUCGAACGGAAAGGCCCUGCUUUUGUGGGGUGCUCGAGUGGCGAACGGGUGAGUAACACGUGAGUAACCUGCCCUUGACUUUGGGAUAACUUCAGGAAACUGGGGCUAAUACCGGAUAGGAGCUCCUGCUGCAUGGUGGGGGUUGGAAAGUUUUGGCGGUUGGGGAUGGACUCGCGGCUUAUCAGCUUGUUGGUGGGGUAGUGGCUUACCAAGGCUUUGACGGGUAGCCGGCCUGAGAGGGUGACCGGCCCCAUUGGGACUGAGAUACGGCCCAGACUCCUACGGGAGGCAGCAGUGGGGAAUAUUGCACAAUGGGCGGAGGCCUGAUGCAGCAACGCCGCGUGCGGGAUGACGGCCUUCGGGUUGUAAACCGCUUUCGCCUGUGACGAAGCGUGAGUGACGGUAAUGGGUAAAGAAGCACCGGCUAACUACGU
Molecule: ribosomal RNA, 467 nt
Filed under: uncultured bacterium
Lineage: Bacteria
Description: partial 16S ribosomal RNA
Rfam family: Bacterial small subunit ribosomal RNA
Source: RNAcentral